This 94-nucleotide small RNA is filed under the name Dasypus novemcinctus (nine-banded armadillo). Its description in RNAcentral is "7SK RNA (ENSDNOG00000030433.1)". It matches the Rfam family "7SK RNA", at positions 175 to 268 of the family's 331-position model. Rfam says of the family: 7SK was discovered as an abundant small nuclear RNA in the mid-70s but a possible function has only recently been suggested. Two independent studies have found that 7SK RNA binds the CDK9/cyclin T complex (known as elongation factor P-TEFb). Lineage: Eukaryota; Metazoa; Chordata; Mammalia; Cingulata; Dasypodidae. The record is from RNAcentral.
GUUAAUAGGUCAAGGGUAUACGAGUAGCUGCACUCCCCCGCUAGAACCUCCAAACAAGCUCUCAGGAAAUACAUUUUGUAAGGCUAUAGUUAGU